GCGGCGCGUCCGUGGAAAGUGAAACCCGUCGGCCAGCUUGGAGGGGCUGCGUGCUUUAUAAGCUGCCCGCCACCCCAGGUCGGCACCACAGCAGUCGCAGCGCAACUCUCAGCAGCAGCAGCAGCACUUUGCAGCCGCGAGCACCGAAACCAGCCGCAGGAAUGGCCCUCCUCAAGUGCAUCCUUCUUCUCGUGGUGGCUGUCCUAGCCCUGGUGGCAGCUAACCCCAUUCCGGAGCCAGGAAACCUGGGAGGUGGUAAACACGAGCACUUCAUAAUCCACGUGCCGUACCACGUGCACACAGUACACCACCACCACGUGAAGAAGGUUCACGUGCCCGUCUACAUCAAGGAGGAGCACCAUGGCUGGCACCCGUGGGACUAGGCGCAUA
Long non-coding RNA from Schistocerca nitens (vagrant locust), 390 nucleotides. RefSeq lists it as uncharacterized. The transcript is spliced from 3 exons. Lineage: Eukaryota; Metazoa; Arthropoda; Insecta; Orthoptera; Acrididae. The record is from RefSeq and is a predicted model, not a curated record.